Molecule: ribosomal RNA, 422 nt
Filed under: uncultured prokaryote
Description: bacterial SSU rRNA
Rfam family: Bacterial small subunit ribosomal RNA
Source: RNAcentral
CCUACGGGGGGCAGCAAUUAGGAAUCUUGCGCAAUGGGCGAAAGCCUGACGCAGCGACGUCGCGUGACUGAUGAAGUCUUUCGGGAUGUAAAGGUCUUUUCUGGGGGAAGAAGGAUGUGACGGUACCCCAGGAAUAAGCCCCGGCUAACUACGUGCCAGCAGCCGCGGUAAUACGUAGGGGGCGAGCGUUGUCCGAAUUCACUGGGCGUAAAGCGCGCGUAGGCGGACUUUAAAGUUGGGGGUGAAAUCCCGAGGCUCAACCUCGGAACUGCCUUCAAAACUGGGAGUCUUGAGGUAUGGAGAGGGAAGUGGAAUUCCAGGUGUAGCGGUGAUAUGCGUAGAUAUCUGGAGGAACACCCGUGGCGAAGGCGGCUUCCUGGCCAUAUCCUGACGCUGAGGUGCGAAAGCUAGGGGAGCGAACG